RNAcentral lists this long non-coding RNA (1942 nucleotides) under Olea europaea subsp. europaea. The record is from RNAcentral. Lineage: Eukaryota; Viridiplantae; Streptophyta; Magnoliopsida; Lamiales; Oleaceae.
AAAUUUCAUUGACAAAGUUCGACGAUUACGACUUGGUGAAAGAGACGUUGUUGCAAUACAAGCGUAUUUUUCAAAGAUGCAAGCAACCAGUCCUGGUUUCUUCUUUAGUAUAGACUUGGAUGACGAGGCCCGGCUGAGGAACGUGUUUUGGGCAGAUAAUAGAUGCAGGCAAGCGUGUAAGGAAUUUGGAGACGUAGUUACGUUUGACACCACAUACUUGACAAACAAGUACGAAAUGCCUUUCGCCCCUUUUGUUGGGGUGAACCAUCAUGGACAAUCAACUCUACUUGGAUGUGGUUUGAUCUCAAAUGAAGAUACAAGGACUUUUGUAUGGCUAUUCAGGACAUGGCUUCAAUGUAUGCAUGAUCAAGCUCCAAGUGGAAUAAUUACAGAUCAAGAUCGUGCUAUGCAGAAUGCAAUUGAAAUUGUGUUUCCGAACACAAAGCAUAGAUGGUGCUUGUGACAUAUUUUAAAAAAGUUACCAGAACAAAGCUUCUAUUCUUGCUACUGUGCAUGGGUUGGUAUAUGAUGUGCAAAGUUGUGAGGAAUUUGAACAAGGUUGGAAUAACAUGCUCAAAGAUUAUGAACUACUAGAACAUACUUGGUUGACUGGUCUUUACAAUGAAAGAAGUCGAUGGGUUCCAUGCUUUUUGAAAACUUCAUUUUGGGCGGGUAUGUCAACCACACAACGAAGUGACGGUAUUAAUGCAUUUUUUGAUGGCUAUGUUCAUUCAAAAACAUCCCUCAAGCAAUUUGUGGAGCAAUAUGAGCGUGCAUUAAGAAGUAAAGUUGAAAAAGAGUUUCAAGCCGACUUCAAAUCAUUUUCACACAUGGUCCCAUGUGCGACCAAGUACGAAAUGGAGAAGCAAUUUCAAUCCGUUUACACAAUCGCGAAGUUCAAGGAGUUCCAAGAACAGUUCACCGGAAAGGUAUAUUGUGAAGUCUUAUCCGUUCAUGAUUCUUACUUGUAUACUAUAUACGAUGUACGUGAGGAUAUCAUUAUCAACGAAUGUAUGAGGACAAAAAUGUUUAAAGUGUGCUUUCCUAGAGAUGAAUGUGAUUUCGAAUGUAGUUGUCAUUUAUUUGAGUUUCGAGGAAUUAUUUGUAAGCAUGCGAUUGCAGUUUUGAUACGAAAUCAAGUGAAAUUAGUUCCCGAUAAGUACAUUUUGAAGAGAUGGAGGAGGGAUGUAAACAGACCGUACAUGAGGGUUUCGAUCAAUUACCAUGGUUGGAUUAGUACUCCAGACCAAGUUAGAUAUGAGCAAAUGUGCAAUGCUUUUACGAAAUUAGCUGACUUGGUAGCACAUGACGAGUCACGAUCACAUGAAAUUAUGGACUGGAUUGAAUUCCAAACAGCGGAGUCGUCAAUGUUGAAGUCUAUGACUGUGGGCUUCCAAAGCUUUGAUGAAGCAGGAAAAAUUGUUGGCGAAAUCAUCUUGGACCCGAAACACACGAAAAGUAAGGGAGCUCCUAAGAAACUUCGCCGAAAAGGAUAUCUAGAAGUUGGUUCUAAAAAAUCAAGAACUGGUCAUAAGGUAUGAUUUUUAGCCAAUUUAUUAUUAUUAUUAUUAUUAUUAUUAUUAUUAUUAUUAUUAUUAUAUAAUCGCUGCACAUUGAAACUGGUAGUUUUUUUCCCUGGCACAUAGGUGGCCACGAACUCAAGUACAUCAAAAAGGCAGAAAGGCAAAGUUUCACCCCCCAUCAAUGUUCAGGUAUUUGAGUGUGACAAAAUAUGAGCCAACUUCAUUGAGUUUUCAUGCAAAAUCUUUGAACGUGACUUUAUCAAUUCCAUUUGUCAGGAUAUUCGGCUAACAAUCACUUUCCCUUCCCAUCAAGUCGGCACACAGGAGAGCGUUGGCGAAUUUGAUUUAGGGGUCUAAAGCAUCCACAGAUAUUUGGCUAUAGAUUUUUGUAAACAAUUAACUGACAUGCUCCACUUGGG